UCUAGCAUGAAGUCAGACAAGUGAAA
RNAcentral lists this ribosomal RNA (26 nucleotides) under Symbiodinium sp. Ha6. RNAcentral's name for it is "partial 24S ribosomal RNA". The record is from RNAcentral. Lineage: Eukaryota; Dinophyceae; Suessiales; Symbiodiniaceae.